RNAcentral lists this long non-coding RNA (717 nucleotides) under Pongo abelii (Sumatran orangutan). RNAcentral's name for it is "lincRNA". The record is from RNAcentral. Lineage: Eukaryota; Metazoa; Chordata; Mammalia; Primates; Hominidae.
UCUUGCCCAGGCUGGUCUCAAACUCCUGGGCUCAAGGAGUCCUCCUGCCUCAGCCUCCCAGAAUAUUGGGAUUAUAGGUGUGAGCCACUGCCAGAAAAACUUUUCUUAAGAUAAGGCAGGGUUUACAUUAUAUUUAGAUUUUUUUUUAAUGAUGUCUUUUUUGGCAGUGCACAGCCAGAGAACAACACAUCACACACAGGAAACAGUUGUGCUCAUGUGAUGGGGGCCUCAGCACUAGGAAGGAGUGGACUAUUGGCGCAUGUAGCAGCUUGAAUAAAUCUGAAAGUCACUACACUGCGUAAGAGAAGCCAAAUAAAAAAGUUCAUGCUGUGUACAGAGGGUGUUGAGAAUGCCUCCUACGUGACGGAAAGCAGAUCCGUGGUUCCCUGCAGACCGGCAGGAGCAGAUUCCAAAGGCACAGGAAGAAGCUUGCAGUACAAAGAUAAAAAUCUAAAGUGGUUGCUGUGGAGGACAGGGGUCAGUGGUGGAAGUGAGACUGAAAUGGACUCUGAAGUAAUAUCUGGACUUUGAAAUUGUUGCCUGUUCACUCUGGCUAGUCAUAUGCAGAAAACUGAAACUAGACCCCUUCCUGACACCUUAUAUAAAAAUUAACUCAAGAUGGAUUAAAGAUUUAAACGUAAGACCCAAAACCAGAAAAAUCCUAGAAGAAAACCUAGGCAAUACCAUUCAGGACAUAAGCAUGGGCAAAGACUUCAU